Phasianus colchicus (ring-necked pheasant) is the source of this 1670-nucleotide long non-coding RNA. RefSeq lists it as uncharacterized. Lineage: Eukaryota; Metazoa; Chordata; Aves; Galliformes; Phasianidae. The record is from RefSeq and is a predicted model, not a curated record.
CUUCCUCAGAGCUGUGAAAUGUUUUUAUUCCACACCACUGGGUCCCACCCUGGCAAGGGAGCAAAAAUGUGCUUCUGCUGCCAGCCCAGAGGAGGGUGUUGCUAGAGCUCAGACUCCUGCUUCUACCACCUCCACAACUUCUAUCCCUAAUAAAUUCUACUACACCCAAAUCAGAAGUGCACUCACAAGAGCAGAAGCUUUGGGCCUGCAGCCAACAGCAAGGCUGAAGCCCAUUCUGGCUCUGUCCUGGAGCUGGCAUCCAUGACCUCAUUUGCCCUUGCCCUCUGUGUGCCAUGUGGGAUGAGCCACAACCUGUGGAUAGCAUCUCCUCAAGCAAACAGUGUCAUAUGGACAGCUUGGUCAGUGGGGACCUUGGGAAACUACUCAGAUAUUUUAGCACUUCAGUCCUAAGUACUUCAUCUGAAUCUAAAGCGCUUGGUUUGAGCUUCGUGGUGCACUGCAUCCUGAGUCUUCAGCUGCCUGAGUUUCUGUCCCUUCCUACCUCAUGCCAGUCACCCCUGCCAAUGGAAGUGAGUUGAAGCUUGAUGGUCUUUAAAGUCCAUUCCAACUGAAGCGGUUCUAUGAUUCUAUAAUGAUUUCCUCAAUGGUCCACUGAUGAGCAAUCAAAACAAAACCCCCAGGACACCAGAGGCAUCCUAGCAGCAGCAGGUCUCAGGGAUUCCCGUGGCUCAGGGAGCCCGUCCAGAUUUCCUGAUACUGGGUGCCUAUGAUCAAGGCUCCUGGAUCCUCACCAUGGGGCAGUGGAAGGCUGGGAGGUGGAUGAAUGCCUGAAAUCUUCCCAUAGAAGGUACCAGUUUUUUGUAACUCUCCUCUACUCAGCUCUGCUCUAGCAAAGCUGAUCUUUAAUAUCUUCAGUGUUUCUCAUCCUUCACAGAAAGUAAUAAUGCUUCUGAUGGCAAAUAAAUUAAACACAUUGACAGCCAUGACUUAAUUUUGGAGAUGAGACAGCAUCAAAAAGAAAAGAGUGCCUUAAAGUAGAGCUUUCCAAGACAAAGCAGCAGUGUGAAAACAAUACCUUUACUCGCUCCAUCACCAUCGAUAUCAUCUUAACACUACAACUCCAGUUCAAAUUAACUCCUUCAGGUUUCCACAGAAGAGAAAAAUCUUCCAGUGGUUUGUUUUCUUUUAAUCUCACCUGCUUAAUAAAGCCAGAGGUACUUGUAAUCUGAAUGCUGCUGUGUCACACUUAGUGAAUGACCCAGGACAUCAAAAUCGCUUCAAGCCAACAAGAAACAAAACCCAAGUUGACCCUGUCCCUCCUGAUGAAGAUAACAGAGCAAACUCAUACCUGGCCAAUAGUAAACAAACCAAGAUAUCUAUGCUUUUAAUGAAUGCUGCAGCACCAAGGGAUUAGAGGGACCAAGGAAUAAAUAGGUCAUCAGCUUGGGGCAACUAUAGAGAUGCUAAGAUGGAAUACGCACUGAUGAAGCUACAGAUGCUCCAUUUGCAGUAACUGCUAUGUGCUGGAGGAGGCAGGUAGUGGUGAAAGGACCUCACCUAUACUAUCUCCCACCUUGGGCUGGGUGCCUCGGCUGCCACGUGCUGCUGCCAUUUUAUCAUAGCACCUUCGUGUGAGUCCGCCCUUUUGUUUAAAGGUUUCCUUUCUUCUGCAUGGCCAUCAUUAAAUUUUACAGAUUAUAAAAGUUCAU